Molecule: ribosomal RNA, 253 nt
Filed under: uncultured bacterium
Lineage: Bacteria
Description: partial 16S ribosomal RNA
Rfam family: Bacterial small subunit ribosomal RNA
Source: RNAcentral
UACGUAGGGUGCGAGCGUUAAUCGGAAUUACUGGGCGUAAAGCGUGCGCAGGCGGUGAUGUAAGACAGAUGUGAAAUCCCCGGGCUCAACCUGGGAACUGCAUUUGUGACUGCAUGGCUGGAGUGCGGCAGAGGGGGAUGGAAUUCCGCGUGUAGCAGUGAAAUGCGUAGAUAUGCGGAGGAACACCGAUGGCGAAGGCAAUCCCCUGGGCCUGCACUGACGCUCAUGCACGAAAGCGUGGGGAGCAAACAGG